CUACUCUUACGGGAGGCAGCAGUGGGGAAUAUUGCACAAUGGGCGGAAGCCUGAUGCAGCAACGCCGCGUGAGGGAUGACGGCCUUCGGGUUGUAAACCUCUUUUAGCAGGGAAGAAGCGAGAGUGACGGUACCUGCAGAAAAAGCACCGGCUAACUACGUGCCAGCAGCCGCGGUAAUACGUAGGGUGCAAGCGUUAUCCGGAAUUAUUGGGCGUAAAGAGCUCGUAGGCGGUCUGUCGCGUCUGCUGUGAAAUCCCGAGGCUCAACCUCGGGCUUGCAGUGGGUACGGGCAGACUAGAGUGCGGUAGGGGAGAUUGGAAUUCCUGGUGUAGCGGUGGAAUGCGCAGAUAUCAGGAGGAACACCGAUGGCGAAGGCAGAUCUCUGGGCCGUAACUGACGCUGAGGAGCGAAAGGGUGGGGAGCAAACAGGCUUAGAUACCCUGGUAGUCCACCCCGUAAACGUUGGGAACUAGUUGUGGGGUCCUUUCCACGGAUUCCGUGACGCAGCUAACGCAUUAAGUUCCCCGCCUGGGGAGUACGGCCGCAAGGCUAAAACUCAAAGGAAUUGACGGGGACCCGCACAAGCGGCGGAGCAUGCGGAUUAAUUUGAUGCAACGCGAAGAACCUUACCAAGGCUUGACAUACACGAGAACGGGCCAGAAAUGGUCAAGCUC
RNAcentral lists this ribosomal RNA (675 nucleotides) under Microbacterium sp. Its description in RNAcentral is "bacterial SSU rRNA". It matches the Rfam family "Bacterial small subunit ribosomal RNA", at positions 333 to 1017 of the family's 1533-position model. Lineage: Bacteria; Bacillati; Actinomycetota; Actinomycetes; Micrococcales; Microbacteriaceae. The record is from RNAcentral.